Molecule: ribosomal RNA, 497 nt
Filed under: uncultured bacterium
Lineage: Bacteria
Description: partial 16S ribosomal RNA
Rfam family: Bacterial small subunit ribosomal RNA
Source: RNAcentral
GAUGAACGCUGGCGGCGUGCCUAAUACAUGCAAGUCGAGCGAACAGACGAGAAGCUUGCUUCUCUGACGUUAGCGGCGGACGGGUGAGUAACACGUGGAUAACCUACCUAUAAGACUGGGAUAACUUCGGGAAACCGGAGCUAAUACCGGAUAAUAUUUUGAACCGCAUGGUUCAAUAGUGAAAGACGGUUUUGCUGUCACUUAUAGAUGGAUCCGCGCUGCAUUAGCUAGUUGGUAAGGUAACGGCUUACCAAGGCGACGAUGCAUAGCCGACCUGAGAGGGUGAUCGGCCACACUGGAACUGAGACACGGUCCAGACUCCUACGGGAGGCAGCAGUAGGGAAUCUUCCGCAAUGGGCGAAAGCCUGACGGAGCAACGCCGCGUGAGUGAUGAAGGUCUUCGGAUCGUAAAACUCUGUUAUUAGGGAAGAACAUAUGUGUAAGUAACUGUGCACAUCUUGACGGUACCUAAUCAGAAAGCCACGGCUAACUACGUG